UGGGGAAUUUUGGACAAUGGGCGCAAGCCUGAUCCAGCAAUGCCGCGUGCAGGAUGAAGGCCUUCGGGUUGUAAACUGCUUUUGUACGGAGCGAAAAGGUCUGCUCUAAUACGGUGGGCUCAUGACGGUACCGUAAGAAUAAGCACCGGCUAACUACGUGCCAGCAGCCGCGGUAAUACGUAGGGUGCAAGCGUUAAUCGGAAUUACUGGGCGUAAAGCGUGCGCAGGCGGUUAUGCAAGACAGAGGUGAAAUCCUCGGGCUCAACCUGGGAACUGCCUUUGUGACUGCAGAGCUAGAGUACGGUAGAGAGGGAUGGAAUUCCGCGUGUAGCAGUGAGAUGCGUAGAUAUGCGGAAGAACACCGAUGGCGAAGGCGAUCCCCUGGACCUGUACUGACGCUCAUGCGCGAAAGCGUGGGGAGCAAACA
This 427-nucleotide ribosomal RNA is filed under the name uncultured bacterium. RNAcentral's name for it is "bacterial SSU rRNA". It matches the Rfam family "Bacterial small subunit ribosomal RNA", at positions 355 to 774 of the family's 1533-position model. The record is from RNAcentral.